RNAcentral lists this transfer RNA (65 nucleotides) under Hiratettix distanti. Its description in RNAcentral is "tRNA-Asn". Lineage: Eukaryota; Metazoa; Arthropoda; Insecta; Hemiptera; Cicadellidae. The record is from RNAcentral. RNAcentral also lists the same sequence under 2 other names.
UUAAUUGAAACCAAAAAGAGGUAUUUUAUUGUUAAUAAAAUAAUUGAAUUUAAAUUCCAAUUAAA